AUAUUUGAAAUUUACUCUCUGAACAUUGAACAUCAAAGGAAGGAGAAUAAAUUUGGAUAUGAAGAGAACAGCCCAUCUUCACCACCCGAGCGCAUGUGUUCCAGAUUGACCCCAACACCAAGAAGAACUGGAUGCCUGCGAGCAAGCAGGCGGUCACCGUUUCCUACUUCUAUGAUGUCACAAGGAACAGCUAUCGGAUCAUCAGUGUGGACGGAGCCAAGGUGAUCAUAAACAGCACAAUCACACCGAAUAUGACCUUCACCAAAACGUCACAGAAGUUUGGGCAGUGGGCCGACAGCAGAGCCAACACGGUGUUUGGUUUGGGGUUUUCCUCUGAGCAGCAGCUGACAAAGUUUGCAGAGAAAUUCCAGGAGGUGAAAGAAGCUGCCAAGAUAGCCAAAGACAAGAUGCAGGAGAAAAUCGAGACCUCAAGUAAUCAUUCCCAAGCAUCCAGUGUCAAUGGGACGGACGAUGAAAAGGCCUCUCACGCUGGUCCAGCCAACACACACCUGAAGUCUGAGAAUGACAAGCUGAAGAUUGCGUUGACACAGAGCGCAGCCAACGUGAAGAAGUGGGAGAUCGAGCUGCAGACCCUUCGGGAGAGCAAUGCCCGGCUCACCACAGCACUGCAGGAGUCGGCAGCCAGUGUGGAGCAGUGG
This 659-nucleotide small RNA is filed under the name Pongo abelii (Sumatran orangutan). RNAcentral describes it as "processed transcript". Lineage: Eukaryota; Metazoa; Chordata; Mammalia; Primates; Hominidae. The record is from RNAcentral.